Molecule: long non-coding RNA, 1100 nt
Filed under: Anser brachyrhynchus (Pink-footed goose)
Lineage: Eukaryota; Metazoa; Chordata; Aves; Anseriformes; Anatidae
Description: lncRNA (ENSABRG00000016939.1)
Source: RNAcentral
AAUCAGCCCUCUUUUCAAAGAAGCCUCCGCCACAAGAGGACAUGACUAAGCAAAAGAGGAAGCUUAACUGCAGCAAAAUUGAUCAGAGCAGACCUGGGAUGCUGAUCCCUUUGUGUUGUGCUCAGCAAAGCAUCUAGCAGAAAUCCUGCAGCCCUCCACUGGGAUUCAUCCAGCUGCUGAGCACCACACCUGCAUCUCCUCUGAUAAAAUUGGGCCAGAUCCUGGAAGGUUCUGAGUGUAACCCAUUUUGGAGCUGAGGUGCUUCAGAUGUCUUACCUUCUGUUUCAGGAUACAAGAGCUAAAUGAGCAGUUUGUUGCAAAAUGAGACAGUUGGAGAGACCACCUGCUCUGAUGGAGUUCCUGGGGCAUUAUGCAAACCCUUCAAAAGAGAGAUCACUGCAACUACCACCACUGAGAUCCCCUGCUGUGAGCUGACAGCUACUCAACAGGAAACAACUACACUGCACAGGCAGCAUGGAGGGCUGUUUGGAUGGGUGCCUUCUGGAAAAAAGAAAAGGGGGGGGGGGUGUGGAGGGUGGGUGGGAGGAGAGAGAGAGAGAAGAACAGAGCUAAAAGGAAAUGUUUCAAUACUGCUGGGAAAGAUGAGCCCUGCUUCUCACUCAAACUGCCCAGACAGCCUCUCUCACCUCUGCUCACUUCACAAGAGGCGUAGGGCAGCCAGGAGAGUGGUUGGCUGUAUUAUCCAAACACUGAGCAAUGCUCUUCACAGCUCUGCUGUAACACUGGCUAGUCUACACGGCUCUCCUUGGUCAUCAGUGCUGUGUAGGGGAGGGAAAGAUGAGCAAAUCUGCCUGGAGAGCUGCCCGUGGACAAUUCCUGUUGCCUCUGCUACUAUUUGGACUGUAUCUCCAGUCUAUCUCUGUCUUCUGCAUGUAGUCUCCUUCCUUGGUCCUGACUAUGAUCCUGCUCCUUCGUGCUCUGGAGUCAAGGUGUUAUAUUAUUUUAGUGGUGGACUUAAGGAAAGGAGAAAGCACCUCCCUUUUCUUCUGGGAAAGGUAGUUUGCAAGUACCUUGGAAGGAUUCUCUUAGGUUUUCUGAAUAGGUUUCUAGGUUUAGGAUGGACACAAAGUCUAAGUUAG